RNAcentral lists this unclassified non-coding RNA (4902 nucleotides) under Hevea brasiliensis (rubber tree). The record is from RNAcentral. Lineage: Eukaryota; Viridiplantae; Streptophyta; Magnoliopsida; Malpighiales; Euphorbiaceae.
CCCGUCUUAAUAUCAGUAAUUCAUUUUUACCAUUUUACUGGUCUUGCAAGUGAAGACACACAUGAUGUGAUAACGGCAUCCCUUUUCAUUUAUAUUUUGGCUGGGGCAAAAAAAAAAAUGAAUGCAACAACACAACUCUAUGACACGUGUUUGCUACAACAAAUUCAUUGGCCUAUGAGACUCAAAAUCUAGGUAUUCUCCAUUUGCUUGCCCAUACCCAUACAUGUCAAAAUGUUUGUCUUCCAAAUUCAUAUUCCCGAUUUCUCGUCCUCUAAAUCCCUCCGUUGGGGAAGCCCAUGGAGCAGGAGUUGAAGGGUUAGAGCUAGAACCCUCUUGGUUUAAACUGAUGGUGCUUGGAUUCUGCGGAGAAUUUCCAGCUGCCCUCCUGUUGGAAGAAUUGGCCGUCGUUAGAGAAAUGGAUGUUGAUUGCUGUUGCUGCUGGUUUUUCACUGGUGAUUUUGGCCUUAGACUCUCUAUUUCAGGGGUAGUCAUGACAAGAUGAGGUGCCUCGGGGGGAGGAUUUCGUCCACCACCUCCUUGCCAUACUUUCCCAUCCUUGUCAGCAAAAUUCCUAACAUAUGCCUCAGCAUUGAAAUUUGAUGAGGAUAGUCCUUUACCAACAGUCAACCAACCAGAUCGAAUAUUGUGGUCUUCACCAAAAAGCUCCAGCCUUCUGCGGCCGAGGGAGAAAUGCUCAAUUAUACGAUACAUAUCUUCAGGCUUUUGAGUUGAACCGUAAGGAGGUUCCUCAGCAAUAAUUACGUCAGUGUCAAUGUUUGCAUGGAUUAUAUGACCAUCAGUGCUGCGACGAACUGUUCCCUUUAUACCCAUCAAGCAGUGUUCCUUUGAGUGCUGAAACAAAGUGUGAGAAUCAUGCCGCAAGCCUGGAGUUGCAUUUGUUUUGUUGGUCUUCACCCAACAAAUAUCCUCACAUCUCCGAAAUCCCCACUUCUUUAAACAUUGACGACCUUGCUCAAGUCCCACGCCAUCACCCACCCAGAGGAAGAUAAAAGAAGGUGUAUCUGUUAUUGCCUCAAUCUUGAGAUUUAAUAUAUCUUCAAAUGUCCAAUACUCCGUAUGGUCAGCAACACCAGGAGCUCGAUGAACAUAUUCUUCCCAAGGGGGGUCCACCAGAAUUACAUCAAACUUGGUUCCAAAAAACUCCGGAGACAGUUCAAACUCAUGUAGGUCACACUUCAAAUACAUUGGUGCAGAGGCAGAUUUGGCAACAAUCUCAUCCUUUUUCUGUAUAAGCUCCCUGAGUUUGGGGUAAUCCUCUACAACAUUGGUAAGCUCCAGCUCCCUGAUAAAAUUCUGGGGUCGCAUACCAGUAUCUACAAAAUUCUGUGAAUAAUCAUUCUGCUCUCCUCUUGAAGGCGCUUUCCCCGGAGGUCCAUUAUUUCUAGGAGGAACCCAGCCCCCUGAGCUCUUAUCAGGAGGUGUUCCUCGUCCUAUAGGUCCUGCAGCAUUAAAACCAGGACCAGACAUGUUUGGAGGCAUUCCCCUUCCAGGUCCUGCCUGAUUAAAAAACAUAGCAGGGUUUGGUGGGGGAGUCCCCAUGUUAGGAGGAAAUCUUGGGGCUGAUGGUCCAGGAGGAACAGGAGAGAGAGCUGGUGGCAUGGCUAGCAUAUUCAUCUCUACACCUCGAGCCCCAGGCCAAACUACAGGAGAAGAAAAUGGUGGAAUAAAGACACCUGGUGAAAUUGGAGGACCUGGAGCAGGUGACAUACUAGGGCCGAGUGGCUGCAUUGGUCCAGGUGGUAGAACUCCCAUAGGCCCAAAAGGUGAUCCCAUUAUGGGCAAAGGGACCUGUUGGUUGUCUCUACCAGUUGGCCUACCCCUUCCUCCUCUCCCUACUCUGCUCCCCUUUAUUCCCAGUGGAGGAGCUCUGGAGAAGGACCCUGUUUCAUGUGAACCACCACUGGAACUCUGGCCAGCAGCACCUCGACCAGACAUAGCCCCUCUCUGUCCUCUUCCUUUCCCUGCCUGGUAGUCUACUUCAUCCCUCCCUGAACUUGGAUCUUGCAUGGAUGCACCAUCAUCAGUAUACCAUUCCUUUUUAUCCUCAGCAGAAGGUGUAGAACCAUAACCAUAUAACUCAUGUCUUCUUGCCCUUUCAUCUCGAAUAUGUGCCCACUCUUCAACAUUUGGUGCUGAUUUCCCAUCAGAUUGCUGACCAAGCUCAGUUCUCCUGGCAAAUUUGGAUCCAGAAUCUGCUCGUCCAUAAUCAAGAGGUUUGGUUUGGAUCUCUAUCACAUCAUAAUUCUCGUUUGAAAUUCCGAAAUUUGAUGACGUUUUUACAGCUUCACCCCUGCUUCGACCAUGAUGCUUUUCAUUGUCAAUCCUCUCACGGGCAUGUCUUGGCUCCCAAUCUCUGCCACGAUCAUAAAAAACAUCUCCAUCUUUUGACUCUCUAUCAUUAAAAGUGGUUUGCCUUCUUUUCCAACUGUCUUUGGAACUUUCCCGAUCUCUAUUCCUGUCACUCCAGCUGUCAUCCCUGCCUUUUGAUCUAUCAUCUCUAAGGCCAUCCCUUUCUAGAUCCUUCAUCCUGAUGUCUGAGCUUCUUUCAUACUCCAUUUCAGAGUACUGUGAUUCUUGAUGACGCCUUACACUCCUCUCUGGGGUUCUAGACCUGUUAGAGCGCCCCGCUUCUCUAGCACUUUUAUCUCUUACCCAGAUAUUUCCAUCUUCAUCUGCAUUCAAAGACCUUUCACGACUUUCAAUAGCAUCCCUGCUAGUGGAAGUUCUCUGCUGUCUAUGCUUCUCACUCUUCUGCCGACCUGACCUGUCUUCACGAGUAAUAGGACUACCUUUAUCAUCCUCUUCUAAAGCUUCUGACCUGCUUUUGCUGUUGUUCCUCUCUCCAUCAGCUCUUGUUUCUUCUCUGUUGUUGGCUUUGACGCCUUUCUCAUUGUUUGAAUCUAAACCCCUACUUUUACUCUCACCAGUUUCAUUUCUUGCAGAAGCACUGCUAUCUUUAGAAUUUUCAUAUUUGGAAUCAGAACUCCUUACACUUCUGAUAUUAGCCUUUUCAUGAUGACUUUCUUCAGCUUUCUUUCCAGCAUCUGAUUCAUCCCACCUCCUCCUAGAAGUUCUUCCCAGCUCAGUAGAACCAUGAGCCUUGUCUCGGCUACUUUCCCUCCUAUCUGAGUACCUGGAAUCUCUAUCUCGUGACUUCUCAUGCUCUCCAUCAUGGAAUCUUUCUUCUUUACUUUUGGUUCCACUGCGUGAACUCUCAUGUUCUGAGAUCUUCGAUGUCAUUUUCCUUUUCUCACUCUCAUCAGCACGACUGUGCCCUUUACUUCCAGACUUUUCUGCAACCUGUCUGUUCUCUAAUUCUCCAUCCUGGUACCAACUGCUCAGCUUUUCCAAGCUACUUUCUUCUUGUUUCUUCUUUAUUUGCUUUAAUCGCAACUCUUUUCUUGUUUCAUAAUCAUCAUCACUACCUGCUCUGCUAGAACCACCACCUGACCUCUUAUGGCUCUCAUUCCUGUCCCCACCAGAACUUCUUCUUCUCCCAUUGCCAUCUAAUCCCUCAGCAUCUUCUCCAUUGCUCGACUUCCUGGACUUGCUGGACCGAUGCCUCCUCUUAUCACUGCCAUCCCAUUCCUCAUCAUCCCCUGCCCUAUCACUCUUCACAUCUGAGCUAUCCUCGGUGUCUCGCUUCACAUAGCUCCGACUACGUUCAGGUGAAUCCAUUGCAAAUAAAAGGUCCUUGAAUAAUUAAUUCCUGUAUAAUUUGUGUAACUGAACCUUGUAACACUACAAACAAAUGAACCUGAAACCAUGUAGACAGGAAUAAGGAAUCUGACUGAGCACGUGUAUUUUCUUUAUCAAACAAAAUUGAACAGAUCCAUCACAUUUUGUAUAUAGUCUUUAAAGGUAAAAUUUUGUAACCAUAAUAAAAUGGAGAAACCAAGGAAUAUAACCAUGGCUAUAGAAGAUAAUGACAGACAUUCAACUAAAAGUGCGACCAAUGUGAGCAAUUUUCACUCAACAAAAGGGAAACAUAUCAACUGCUCUCAACAUCACAAUUCUUCAAUCUCCUAGAAAAGGUCUAAUAGUUACUAAAACUACAGAGAAUUAAGAAAUUCUCGAUUGCCUUACAACCUAGCAAAACCAAAAAGAACUGCGCAAAAACGUGAGCGGCUAAUGUACGCAAUUACAAAGUUUCCAUGUCGCAGAUUGAGAGAAAGCUCAAAAAUCGACAUAAGAAGUGAAAUCAUGAACAUUUACGUAAAUUGCGUAAAGUAAAUAAAGCUAAAAACGUAAAUUGCUGUGAUUACAAUUAGCAAUAGAAAGAACCCUAGAAAACUGAAAUACGAGGGGGAAAGAAGAGAGAUUGAUAGUUGCGUGUGUUUAGAGAUAGAGAUAGAAGUACCUGGCAACCGCGAUUUGUGAAAAAAAACGGUAGGGAAACCCUAGUACCAAUCACCAACUCUCUAAAAAGGGUUUUCAGGUCUUGCAGAGUUCUGCAACGCGACUAAAAACCAUGGAAAUGAACCCUUUUUUUUUCCGUAGUUUAUUUAUUUUAAUAUUUCCAAACCAUUAAGAAUAUCAACGAAUAAUAAUAUCUUAAACCAUAAAAAAAAGAGAGAAUUAUAAAAUGAAAGUAUUAAUUUUUAAAUUAUUCCUUUAAUUGGAAAAUGAAAUAAAAUAAAACUAAAAAUUCAUGAUAAAUGAUAUAGUGCUUACUGUUCAGAAUCCGCAACAGAUUUGUAAUAGGUGGGAUUUGGGCAUCAAGUUUGAAUUGUGGGAGCAGAUUUUUGUCAAAGAAGAAAGGACAUUUGAACUUGCAAAUCUUUUUCCUUACUAACUGCAAAGUCAUAGCGAUGUUAAUGGUCCGGCUAAAGUGGGACACUGCACCAAUCCUACAUGCUCACACUGCCCCCGCCGCCGCUG